CUAGGUCGGUCCGUAGAGGGAGCCUGCAGCCCGGCCAGUGGCCGGCCUGGGUCUGGCCAGAAGCCCCAAGUUGGACGUAGUAACCGCCUUCCCGAAGCCUCGGGAUGUAGGAGCCGGGGAAAAUCAUCCGGCCUUAGGCUCUGUCUCCAGGCAAAUAUGUUAUUUUCAAGAGGGAAAUGCCAUCAGAAGUAAAGCUCCAGUUAUUAUCAGCCUCUUUACCAAAGCUUGUGAGACUUCUCAGAGUUCAGGGAAGCAGGAAAACCUGAGGAUGUUAGUGGUAUGCAUAGACAAAAGUCUGCUGGUGAAGAACUACCCUACUAGCAACAAGGAUCAUGCAGUAACAUGGACAGGACCAGCUCAGUUCAUACGUAUCAUUUAAGAGAACUCCACCCAUCAUGUCCAUCAAAGCUCGACGUCUUUCAUCAUCCCUCUGGAAAAAUAACCCAAAGUUAGAGGAAAUGGUAGCUGGAGGUUGAAGUGUUCAAGCUCUAUCAGCAUCACCCAAGACCACAGAUCUAAAAUGUUGUUGGGAAGAUGUCAGGAACAAGCAGGAAAAUGAAUCUAUAAUGGUAAUGAUGGUGAUGGCAGAGGGCACGUAUGUGUAUAUGUGUGUGUGUUUGUAAUUAGACUCUUCCCUAAAUGUUUCUGAUUGAUUGCAAAGGAACAUGUUUCUGUAAUAUAAUGUAAAAA
Molecule: non-coding RNA, 690 nt
Organism: Phascolarctos cinereus (koala)
Lineage: Eukaryota; Metazoa; Chordata; Mammalia; Diprotodontia; Phascolarctidae
Source: RefSeq, a predicted model, not a curated record